This 73-nucleotide transfer RNA is filed under the name Candidatus Dormiibacterota bacterium. RNAcentral describes it as "tRNA-Arg". It matches the Rfam family "tRNA". Rfam says of the family: Transfer RNA (tRNA) molecules are approximately 80 nucleotides in length. Lineage: Bacteria; Bacillati; Candidatus Dormiibacterota. The record is from RNAcentral.
GCCCCGCUAGCUCAGUGGAUAGAGCAUCUGCCUUCUAAGCAGAGGGUCCGGGGUUCGAAUCCCUGGCGGGGCA